This 783-nucleotide ribosomal RNA is filed under the name Triticum aestivum (bread wheat). Its description in RNAcentral is "partial small subunit ribosomal RNA". The record is from RNAcentral. Lineage: Eukaryota; Viridiplantae; Streptophyta; Magnoliopsida; Poales; Poaceae.
AUGUACGGAGCAAAGAAGGUUCUAUGCCCUCUAGGAUUGGAGGUGAAGAAGAUACAUGCAUGCCCUAAUGACUGCAUCCUUUACCUCGGUGCGUACGGGGAUUUGAACGCAUGCCCGGUAUGCGGUGCAUUGCGGUAUAAGAUCAGACGAGAUGACCCUGGUGAUGUUGAGGGCGAGCGGCCCAGGAAGAGGGUUCCUGCCAAGGUGAUGUUGUAUGCUCCUAUAAUACCACGGUUGAAACGUCUGUUCAGAAAUAAAGAGCAUGCCAAGUUGAUGCGAUGGCACAAAGAGGACCGUAAGAAAGACGGAAAGUUGAGAGCACCCGUUGAUGGGUCGCAGUGGAGAAAAAUCGAGAGAAAGUGGGGGGACUUUGCAGGUGACGCAAGAAACAUAUGGUUUGGUUUAAGCGCGGAUGGCAUUAAUCCUUUUGGGGAGCAGAGCAGCAAUCAUAGCACCUGGCCUGUGACUCUAUGUAUCUAUAACCUUCCUCCUUGGUUGUGCAUGAAGCAGAAGUUCAUUAUGAUGCCAUUUCUCAUCCAAGGCCCUAAGCAACCCGGCAACGACAUUGAUGUGUACCUAAGGCCAUUAUUUGAAGAACUUUUACAGACGUGGAAUGAAAAAGGUGUACAUGUGUGGGAUGAGCAAGACCAGCAGGAAUUUGACCUACAUGCGUUGAUGUUUGUAACCAUCAAUGAUUGGCCUGCUCCGAGUAACCUUUCAGGACAGACAAACAAGGGAUUGAUACAUCUCCAACUUAUCUAUAAUUUUUUUAUUGUUCCAUGA